GAUGAACGCUAGCUACAGGCUUAACACAUGCAAGUCGAGGGGCAGCAUUUUAGUUUGCUUGCAAACUGAAGAUGGCGACCGGCGCACGGGUGAGUAACACGUAUCCAACCUGCCGAUAACUCCGGGAUAGCCUUUCGAAAGAAAGAUUAAUACCGGAUAGCAUACGAAUAUCGCAUGAUAUUUUUAUUAAAGAAUUUCGGUUAUCGAUGGGGAUGCGUUCCAUUAGUUUGUUGGCGGGGUAACGGCCCACCAAGACUACGAUGGAUAGGGGUUCUGAGAGGAAGGUCCCCCACAUUGGAACUGAGACACGGUCCAAACUCCUACGGGAGGCAGCAGUGAGGAAUAUUGGUCAAUGGGCGCGAGCCUGAACCAGCCAAGUAGCGUGAAGGAUGAAGGCUCUAUGGGUCGUAAACUUCUUUUAUAUGGGAAUAAAGUUUUCCACGUGUGGAAUUUUGUAUGUACCAUAUGAAUAAGGAUCGGCUAACUCCGUGCCAGCAGCCGCGGUAAUACGGAGGAUCCGAGCGUUAUCCGGAUUUAUUGGGUUUAAAGGGAGCGUAGGUGGAUUGUUAAGUCAGUUGUGAAAGUUUGCGGCUCAACCGUAAAAUUGCAGUUGAAACUGGCAGUCUUGAGUACAGUAGAGGUGGGCGGAAUUCGUGGUGUAGCGGUGAAAUGCUUAGAUAUCACGAAGAACUCCGAUUGCGAAGGCAGCUCACUAGACUGUCACUGACACUGAUGCUCGAAAGUGUGGGUAUCAAACAGGAUUAGAUACCCUGGUAGUCCACACAGUAAACGAUGAAUACUCGCUGUUUGCGAUAUACAGUAAGCGGCCAAGCGAAAGCAUUAAGUAUUCCACCUGGGGAGUACGCCGGCAACGGUGAAACUCAAAGGAAUUGACGGGGGCCCGCACAAGCGGAGGAACAUGUGGUUUAAUUCGAUGAUACGCGAGGAACCUUACCCGGGCUUAAAUUGCAACAGAAUAUAUUGGAAACAGUAUAGCCGUAAGGCUGUUGUGAAGGUGCUGCAUGGUUGUCGUCAGCUCGUGCCGUGAGGUGUCGGCUUAAGUGCCAUAACGAGCGCAACCCUUAUCUUUAGUUACUAACAGGUUAUGCUGAGGACUCUAGAGAGACUGCCGUCGUAAGAUGUGAGGAAGGUGGGGAUGACGUCAAAUCAGCACGGCCCUUACGUCCGGGGCUACACACGUGUUACAAUGGGGGGUACAGAAGGCGGCUACCUGGUGACAGGAUGCUAAUCCCAAAAACCUCUCUCAGUUCGGAUCGAAGUCUGCAACCCGACUUCGUGAAGCUGGAUUCGCUAGUAAUCGCGCAUCAGCCAUGGCGCGGUGAAUACGUUCCCGGGCCUUGUACACACCGCCCGUCAAGCCAUGAAAGCCGGGGGUACCUGAAGUACGUAACCGCAAGGAGCGUCCUAGGGU
Molecule: ribosomal RNA, 1432 nt
Filed under: uncultured organism
Description: 16S ribosomal RNA
Rfam family: Bacterial small subunit ribosomal RNA
Source: RNAcentral